This 564-nucleotide ribosomal RNA is filed under the name Plectosphaerella cucumerina. RNAcentral describes it as "eukaryotic LSU rRNA". The stretch from base 184 to 337 matches the Rfam family "5.8S ribosomal RNA". Lineage: Eukaryota; Fungi; Ascomycota; Sordariomycetes; Glomerellales; Plectosphaerellaceae. The record is from RNAcentral.
UCGUAACAAGGUCUCCGUUGGUGAACCAGCGGAGGGAUCAUUACCGAGUACUACACUCAUUACCCUUUGUGAACCAUUAUACCUGUUGCUUCGGCGGCGUCCCUCGCGGACGCCCGCCGGUCUCAUCAGAAUCUCUGUUUUCGAACCCGACGAUACUUCUGAGUGUUCUUAGCGAACUGUCAAAACUUUUAACAACGGAUCUCUUGGCUCCAGCAUCGAUGAAGAACGCAGCGAAACGCGAUAUGUAAUGUGAAUUGCAGAAUUCAGUGAAUCAUCGAAUCUUUGAACGCACAUGGCGCCUUCCAGUAUCCUGGGAGGCAUGCCUGUCCGAGCGUCGUUUCAACCCUCGAGCCCUCGUGGCCCGGCGUUGGGGAUCUGCCACGGCAGGCCCCGAAAUACAGUGGCGGACCCGUUAGGCCCUUCCUUUGCGUAGUAGCAUUAGCCUCGCAUCGGGAGCCGGCGGGCUCUCCUGCCUCUAAACCCCCCAACAAGCCCGCUUCGGCGGCACCAAGGUUGACCUCGGAUCAGGUAGGAAUACCCGCUGAACUUAAGCAUAUCAAUAAG